Molecule: ribosomal RNA, 22 nt
Filed under: Lodderomyces parapsilosis
Lineage: Eukaryota; Fungi; Ascomycota; Pichiomycetes; Serinales; Debaryomycetaceae
Also listed under: 1 other name
Description: Candida parapsilosis partial 18S ribosomal RNA
Source: RNAcentral
GGGACCUGCGGAAGGAUCAUUA